Molecule: RNA transcript, 943 nt
Organism: Vicia villosa (hairy vetch)
Lineage: Eukaryota; Viridiplantae; Streptophyta; Magnoliopsida; Fabales; Fabaceae
Gene name: DEAD-box ATP-dependent RNA helicase 3, chloroplastic-like
Exons: 5
Source: RefSeq, a predicted model, not a curated record
UUCAUCACCUUACAACAUGUUCAGAAAUAUUCUAGACAUGAACGCUAAUUUCGGUGGCUUUAACUGUGCAUUAUUGCAAGCAAGAAAGUCUGUGUGGGACUGGAACCGGGAAGACACUAGAAUUUGGAAUUCCAAUUAUCAAGGGUCUCAUUGAGAAUGGACAAAGCACUAUGAGUGGUGUUUAUCAUCAUAUUCAGAGGAAUGCGCUUUUGCGUGGGGUUGAUGUUGUGGUCGGAACACCUGGGAGACUGAUUGACCUGAUAAAUGAGAAAAACCUUAAACUUAGUGAAAUUCAGUAUUUGGUACUUGAUGAGGCCUAUCAGAUGCUUGCUGUUGGGUUUGAGAAGGAUGUGGAAGUGAUUUUAGAAAAGAUUCAGCUCAGUUGCAGAUCAUGCUUUUCUCUGCGACCAUGUCGGGUUGGGUCAAGAAGUUGUCAAGAAAACAUUUGAACAAUCCGUUGACUAUUGAUUUGGUCGGGGAUAGAGAAGAAAAGCUUGCUGAAGGGAUCAAACUUUAUGCUGUAUCACCCACUGCAUCAUCAAAAUGGAGAAUUCUUUAUGGUCUUAUAAAUGAUCACAGGCUCCCACUCCGGCUAGCUAUGAAGUAUCUGAUUUUAUGAUACAAGUGCUGCUGAUUUUGAUUGGGGUGGUUCAGCUACUGAUGGUAUUAGCUUGCAGCUUUGUUUGGAUGCCUGCAUAUCUCUGAUCUGGUUUGAUGUCGACUUUCAGAAGCUGUUCCGGUGUCUGCAGGCCUUAAGGCUGUUUCGGCGUUCUUGUGUUUCAUUAUACAUCUUGUGGUUGCUAUACAGUAUUUGAUGUGCUCAGUAGUGGAAUGUGUAAACUUGCUAUUUUGUUUAGUAUGAUCAGGGUGGGUGGGUAGCAGCGUGUAUACUAUUGUUCUGUCGUCUGUAUGAACAGGGUGAGUGGGUAGGAGUUUUGUUCAA